UUAAGCGACUAAGCGUACACGGUGGAUGCCCUGGCAGUCAGAGGCGAUGAAGGACGUGCUAAUCUGCGAUAAGCGUCGGUAAGGUGAUAUGAACCGUUAUAACCGGCGAUUUCCGAAUGGGGAAACCCAGUGUGAUUCGUCACACUAUCAUUAACUGAAUCCAUAGGUUAAUGAGGCGAACCGGGGGAACUGAAACAUCUAAGUACCCCGAGGAAAAGAAAUCAACCGAGAUUCCCCCAGUAGCGGCGAGCGAACGGGGAGCAGCCCAGAGCCUGAAUCAGUGUGUGUGUUAGUGGAAGCGUCUGGAAAGGCGCGCGAUACAGGGUGACAGCCCCGUACACAAAAAUGCACAUAUUGUGAGCUCGAUGAGUAGGGCGGGACACGUGGUAUCCUGUCUGAAUAUGGGGGGACCAUCCUCCAAGGCUAAAUACUCCUGACUGACCGAUAGUGAACCAGUACCGUGAGGGAAAGGCGAAAAGAACCCCGGCGAGGGGAGUGAAAAAGAACCUGAAACCGUGUACGUACAAGCAGUGGGAGCACAGAGCAAUCUGUGUGACUGCGUACCUUUUGUAUAAUGGGUCAGCGACUUAUAUUCUGUAGCAAGGUUAACCGAAUAGGGGAGCCGAAGGGAAACCGAGUCUUAACUGGGCGUUAAGUUGCAGGGUAUAGACCCGAAACCCGGUGAUCUAGCCAUGGGCAGGUUGAAGGUUGGGUAACACUAACUGGAGGACCGAACCGACUAAUGUUGAAAAAUUAGCGGAUGACUUGUGGCUGGGGGUGAAAGGCCAAUCAAACCGGGAGAUAGCUGGUUCUCCCCGAAAGCUAUUUAGGUAGCGCCUCGUGAAUUCAUCUCCGGGGGUAGAGCACUGUUUCGGCAAGGGGGUCAUCCCGACUUACCAACCCGAUGCAAACUGCGAAUACCGGAGAAUGUUAUCACGGGAGACACACGGCGGGUGCUAACGUCCGUCGUGAAGAGGGAAACAACCCAGACCGCCAGCUAAGGUCCCAAAGUCAUGGUUAAGUGGGAAACGAUGUGGGAAGGCCCAGACAGCCAGGAUGUUGGCUUAGAAGCAGCCAUCAUUUAAAGAAAGCGUAAUAGCUCACUGGUCGAGUCGGCCUGCGCGGAAGAUGUAACGGGGCUAAACCAUGCACCGAAGCUGCGGCAGCGACACUAUGUGUUGUUGGGUAGGGGAGCGUUCUGUAAGCCUGUGAAGGUGUACUGUGAGGUAUGCUGGAGGUAUCAGAAGUGCGAAUGCUGACAUAAGUAACGAUAAAGCGGGUGAAAAGCCCGCUCGCCGGAAGACCAAGGGUUCCUGUCCAACGUUAAUCGGGGCAGGGUGAGUCGACCCCUAAGGCGAGGCCGAAAGGCGUAGUCGAUGGGAAACAGGUUAAUAUUCCUGUACUUGGUGUUACUGCGAAGGGGGGACGGAGAAGGCUAUGUUGGCCGGGCGACGGUUGUCCCGGUUUAAGCGUGUAGGCUGGUUUUCCAGGCAAAUCCGGAAAAUCAAGGCUGAGGCGUGAUGACGAGGCACUACGGUGCUGAAGCAACAAAUGCCCUGCUUCCAGGAAAAGCCUCUAAGCAUCAGGUAACAUCAAAUCGUACCCCAAACCGACACAGGUGGUCAGGUAGAGAAUACCAAGGCGCUUGAGAGAACUCGGGUGAAGGAACUAGGCAAAAUGGUGCCGUAACUUCGGGAGAAGGCACGCUGAUAUGUAGGUGAAGCGACUUGCUCGUGGAGCUGAAAUCAGUCGAAGAUACCAGCUGGCUGCAACUGUUUAUUAAAAACACAGCACUGUGCAAACACGAAAGUGGACGUAUACGGUGUGACGCCUGCCCGGUGCCGGAAGGUUAAUUGAUGGGGUCAGCGCAAGCGAAGCUCUUGAUCGAAGCCCCGGUAAACGGCGGCCGUAACUAUAACGGUCCUAAGGUAGCGAAAUUCCUUGUCGGGUAAGUUCCGACCUGCACGAAUGGCGUAAUGAUGGCCAGGCUGUCUCCACCCGAGACUCAGUGAAAUUGAACUCGCUGUGAAGAUGCAGUGUACCCGCGGCAAGACGGAAAGACCCCGUGAACCUUUACUAUAGCUUGACACUGAACAUUGAGCCUUGAUGUGUAGGAUAGGUGGGAGGCUUUGAAGUGUGGACGCCAGUCUGCAUGGAGCCGACCUUGAAAUACCACCCUUUAAUGUUUGAUGUUCUAACGUUGGCCCCUAAUCGGGGUUGCGGACAGUGUCUGGUGGGUAGUUUGACUGGGGCGGUCUCCUCCUAAAGAGUAACGGAGGAGCACGAAGGUUGGCUAAUCCUGGUCGGACAUCAGGAGGUUAGUGCAAUGGCAUAAGCCAGCUUGACUGCGAGCGUGACGGCGCGAGCAGGUGCGAAAGCAGGUCAUAGUGAUCCGGUGGUUCUGAAUGGAAGGGCCAUCGCUCAACGGAUAAAAGGUACUCCGGGGAUAACAGGCUGAUACCGCCCAAGAGUUCAUAUCGACGGCGGUGUUUGGCACCUCGAUGUCGGCUCAUCACAUCCUGGGGCUGAAGUAGGUCCCAAGGGUAUGGCUGUUCGCCAUUUAAAGUGGUACGCGAGCUGGGUUUAGAACGUCGUGAGACAGUUCGGUCCCUAUCUGCCGUGGGCGCUGGAGAACUGAGGGGGGCUGCUCCUAGUACGAGAGGACCGGAGUGGACGCAUCACUGGUGUUCGGGUUGUCAUGCCAAUGGCACUGCCCGGUAGCUAAAUGCGGAAGAGAUAAGUGCUGAAAGCAUCUAAGCACGAAACUUGCCCCGAGAUGAGUUCUCCCUGACUCCUUGAGAGUCCUGAAGGAACGUUGAAGACGACGACGUUGAUAGGCCGGGUGUGUAAGCGCAGCGAUGCGUUGAGCUAACCGGUACUAAUGAACCGUGAGGCUUAACCUU
This 2903-nucleotide ribosomal RNA is filed under the name Escherichia coli. Its description in RNAcentral is "bacterial LSU rRNA". It matches the Rfam family "Bacterial large subunit ribosomal RNA". The record is from RNAcentral. Lineage: Bacteria; Pseudomonadati; Pseudomonadota; Gammaproteobacteria; Enterobacterales; Enterobacteriaceae.